This 1414-nucleotide ribosomal RNA is filed under the name Lactiplantibacillus plantarum. Its description in RNAcentral is "bacterial SSU rRNA". It matches the Rfam family "Bacterial small subunit ribosomal RNA". The record is from RNAcentral. Lineage: Bacteria; Bacillati; Bacillota; Bacilli; Lactobacillales; Lactobacillaceae.
GCAGUCGACGAACUCUGGUAUUGAUUGGUGCUUGCAUCAUGAUUUACAUUUGAGUGAGUGGCGAACUGGUGAGUAACACGUGGGAAACCUGCCCAGAAGCGGGGGAUAACACCUGGAAACAGAUGCUAAUACCGCAUAACAACUUGGACCGCAUGGUCCGAGUUUGAAAGAUGGCUUCGGCUAUCACUUUUGGAUGGUCCCGCGGCGUAUUAGCUAGAUGGUGGGGUAACGGCUCACCAUGGCAAUGAUACGUAGCCGACCUGAGAGGGUAAUCGGCCACAUUGGGACUGAGACACGGCCCAAACUCCUACGGGAGGCAGCAGUAGGGAAUCUUCCACAAUGGACGAAAGUCUGAUGGAGCAACGCCGCGUGAGUGAAGAAGGGUUUCGGCUCGUAAAACUCUGUUGUUAAAGAAGAACAUAUCUGAGAGUAACUGUUCAGGUAUUGACGGUAUUUAACCAGAAAGCCACGGCUAACUACGUGCCAGCAGCCGCGGUAAUACGUAGGUGGCAAGCGUUGUCCGGAUUUAUUGGGCGUAAAGCGAGCGCAGGCGGUUUUUUAAGUCUGAUGUGAAAGCCUUCGGCUCAACCGAAGAAGUGCAUCGGAAACUGGGAAACUUGAGUGCAGAAGAGGACAGUGGAACUCCAUGUGUAGCGGUGAAAUGCGUAGAUAUAUGGAAGAACACCAGUGGCGAAGGCGGCUGUCUGGUCUGUAACUGACGCUGAGGCUCGAAAGUAUGGGUAGCAAACAGGAUUAGAUACCCUGGUAGUCCAUACCGUAAACGAUGAAUGCUAAGUGUUGGAGGGUUUCCGCCCUUCAGUGCUGCAGCUAACGCAUUAAGCAUUCCGCCUGGGGAGUACGGCCGCAAGGCUGAAACUCAAAGGAAUUGACGGGGGCCCGCACAAGCGGUGGAGCAUGUGGUUUAAUUCGAAGCUACGCGAAGAACCUUACCAGGUCUUGACAUACUAUGCAAAUCUAAGAGAUUAGACGUUCCCUUCGGGGACAUGGAUACAGGUGGUGCAUGGUUGUCGUCAGCUCGUGUCGUGAGAUGUUGGGUUAAGUCCCGCAACGAGCGCAACCCUUAUUAUCAGUUGCCAGCAUUAAGUUGGGCACUCUGGUGAGACUGCCGGUGACAAACCGGAGGAAGGUGGGGAUGACGUCAAAUCAUCAUGCCCCUUAUGACCUGGGCUACACACGUGCUACAAUGGAUGGUACAACGAGUUGCGAACUCGCGAGAGUAAGCUAAUCUCUUAAAGCCAUUCUCAGUUCGGAUUGUAGGCUGCAACUCGCCUACAUGAAGUCGGAAUCGCUAGUAAUCGCGGAUCAGCAUGCCGCGGUGAAUACGUUCCCGGGCCUUGUACACACCGCCCGUCACACCAUGAGAGUUUGUAACACCCAAAGUCGGUGGGGUAAC